Molecule: long non-coding RNA, 2016 nt
Organism: Gadus macrocephalus (Pacific cod)
Lineage: Eukaryota; Metazoa; Chordata; Actinopteri; Gadiformes; Gadidae
Exons: 3
Source: RefSeq, a predicted model, not a curated record
GGAGGGGGGGGUCAAUCCAAAAUCGACCCCAAACGAAGGACACAAAACCCUUCUGUUAAAUGACACAGGAGAGCCCUCGGCUAACGGGAAAUUAAUAACAGCGACUAAUCCUUUUAAACAUAUUAUGACAUUAAGGUUUGUACUUGAAAUGCUCUUUUUUUACUUGUUCUGGAAGCUAAAAUGACUAGCCCAGCUCCUUGACUGGUGUUGCCUGAUGUUGGUUCCCUCGCGGUCGUCUUUGUCUCUGCCCGGUGCCACUGUGUCCUUCACUGUUUCCUCAGAUGAGAAUUUCUUUUGGGAGACAGAUGCACUAAUCUCUAUGAGUAAUUAGACUAAAGCUUCCCCGCUUGGCGCAGGCACCACUUAUAACACACACACAUGCACACAAACACACACACACACAUACUCACACACACACACACACACACAUACACACACACACACACACACAUAUAUUGAUCACACUCCCCACACACACUUUUGCCCUUGUAUCUCUCCUCAGAAUGUCAUUACCUCCCUGCAGUCACGCAUGCAUACACACACACACACACACACACACACACACACACACACACACACACACACACACACACACACACACACACACACACACACACACACUUCCCACCAAUCUUCCUGCUCCUUCUGUUUCGCUCUCUGUAUCUGUCUAUUUUACGUUGAGUUGAUUAAUAAUGAUCCAUGGCCCGGUGCUCCAUGCUGCCAUGCAGGAGAUCUCCCAGAGUUUGUGUGAAGACGGCGGGUUUAACAUGUGUGCAGCCUCACCAGCCCAAAACCGUCCUACUCGAGUCGGGGCCAGGUGAGGCCCAGGUAUCACCCACACGCACUCCACAGUGAGCAGCACAGCUGCAUGCACGCGUCUGCGUCCUCGGCGCGGCCAGCCAAAUGGUACCAGAGCCAGGGAACGGUCGGCAACACGCGCCUAGGAUCGGGUCAGCCACGCAGAAGCACGCCGAGACCUUCAGGCAUUAAACUCGCAUCCCACAUACUCCGCAGGGGGGUUCUGGCCCCGCCCCCAGCUGCCCGCAACUUACAGUACAACAAAUUGAUUGGCACGACCUUAGCAAUGUACUAACCGCCCACACGGCUCGACGUCGGCGCGGAGCAUCAGCCAGACGUUGAGUUGUGCAGCGGGCUCUGAGCUCUCUGAGCGGCCUCACUCAGGGCCUCAUCACAUGCUGCAGGGGCUGGGGGGUUCAGAUGGACCGUCUUCAGGUGAGACGUUGACCCAGGUACUGAUGCCCUGCCGUCACUAAAGCCCCCAUGACACUCGACGCAAGAGUAGGGUGCUAUUAAGGGUGUCCCGGACAAAGCACCCAACAUGGCGCCCAAACCAGACCCAACUUAUUUUACACUCAAAGACGCUUUACAGAGUGAACAUAAAAUAAACAAAUUGAACAAGAUCGUAUAUAAGUAAAAAGAUCAAAUGCAAAAAUAAAAAAAUAAAAGAUGGAAUGGGAUCAAAUAUAAUGGGUAGUUAAAAACCAAAAUUGGCUGUUAAAACUAGGAAUAGUUAAAAGGUGGAAGGGAAGGAGUUUAUGUGGGGAACGCAAUCUUAAAAGGUGGGAUUUGAGAGCCUGUUUAAAUGGACGGAGUUGUGUGUUAGCCUGUCGGACGUGGCUGGGGACGGAGUUCCAGAGGGAGAGUGCGGCACCCGAGAAGGCCCUGUCUCCCUGGGUCCGAAGCUUGGUCCUGGGGGUUGGAGUGUGGUUGUGUCCAUAGACCUGAGGCAGCGGGUAGAACUGUGGUGGAGGAGGAGGUCAGAGAGGAAGGGGAGGGACCAGGUUAUAUAUAGACGGUGAGUUGUAUUCUGGAAUGAAUCCUACAUUUAACUGGGAGCCAGGGGAGUGUGUGAAGGACAGGGGUGAUGUGAUCUCGGCGACACUCGCUGUGUAAAAGGCUUUGAGAUGCUGCAUGCAUAAUGAAUAAUUCCUACUUGUUCUCCAGAGCCGCUGCUCCACUGCGUGUGUCUCCCAGUGCUCAGCUCUCUACCGCCCC